RNAcentral lists this ribosomal RNA (468 nucleotides) under uncultured bacterium. Its description in RNAcentral is "partial 16S ribosomal RNA". It matches the Rfam family "Bacterial small subunit ribosomal RNA", at positions 28 to 507 of the family's 1533-position model. The record is from RNAcentral.
GACGAACGCUGGCGGCGUGCUUAACACAUGCAAGUCGAACGGAAAGGCCCUGCUUUUGUGGGGUGCUCGAGUGGCGAACGGGUGAGUAACACGUGAGUAACCUGCCCUUGACUUUGGGAUAACUUCAGGAAACUGGGGCUAAUAUCGGAUAGGAGCUCCUGCUGCAUGGUGGGGGUUGGAAAGUUUCGGCGGUGGGGGAUGGACUCGCGGCUUAUCAGCUUGUUGGUGGGGUAGUGGCUUACCAAGGCUUUGACGGGUAGCCGGCCUGAGAGGGUGACCGGCCACAUUGGGACUGAGAUACGGCCCAGACGCCUACGGGAGGCAGCAGUGGGGAGUAUUGCACAAUGGGCGGAAGCCUGAUGCAGCAACGCCGCGUGCGGGAUGACGGCCUUCGGGUUGUAAACCGCUUUCGCCUGUGACGAAGCGUGAGUGACGGUAAUGGGUAAAGAAGCACCGGCUAACUACGUG